AGGAUUGUAGUUCAAUUGGUCAAAGCACCGCCCUGUCAAGGCAGAGCUGCGCGUUUGAGCCUUGUCAGUCCCG
Non-coding RNA from Cucumis melo (muskmelon), 73 nucleotides. NCBI's taxonomy places the organism in Eukaryota, Viridiplantae, Streptophyta, Magnoliopsida, Cucurbitales, Cucurbitaceae. The record is from Rfam.